This 752-nucleotide long non-coding RNA is filed under the name Salmo salar (Atlantic salmon). RNAcentral's name for it is "lncRNA (ENSSSAG00000092813.1, ENSSSAG00000116931.1)". The record is from RNAcentral. Lineage: Eukaryota; Metazoa; Chordata; Actinopteri; Salmoniformes; Salmonidae.
AUUUAUCAUUUCUUCUUCGUUAUGGAGAAUGACUAACGUUAGUUCUGAAAACGAACGAUUCUCCCUCUCAUAAUUUUACCCUAUUAAUUCAGGUCACUGAUACUCCACCUGAUGUGGUGUAAGUAGUCGAACCAGAUCAGAACGCCUUUGAAGACCACCUUCAGGCACGGACUGAGAAGGAUGUGGAGGUUUUUGACCAGAUUCAGUCAACAGAUGCUGAGGGGGAUAAUCCGGUGCAGCAGAGGCGUGCAGCUUCCACAGUACAGCAAGUUAUGUGGCUGUGAGAACCUCCGUGACAGUGGCUGAGGUCCACAGCUGCCUGACCACCACACAGGCAGUGUUGAACAAACACAAGAGCAGACCUGGUCUCAAGCUGAAUGCUUGUCUUGCCAACACAGACACCUAUGAGGGUGUAAGUCUGACAGCCAGAGAUGACAGCACCCUGGCUCAUGUGACAUCAUCCAUGUGCAAACUCAUUGACCAGCAGUGCCAAAGGAUGGACAAGAGAUUUGGUGACAAAACUGGUCGAUCUGCAAAAUGGACUUGUUGCAGAAAACUCUGAAAAUUUUGGAGAUUCAGAGGUUGAUGAUCUAACAAGGCACUUUGAGCCAGCGUUGAUGUGGAUCUGAUCCCAGACCAGUAAACCAUCCUGAAGGCCAGGCUCUACCAGGACCCAAAGAGCGGCGUGGAGUAGAUGUCCUGGCCCAAGUUCCACAGGAUCCUCAAACACCCGUGCCCUGACCUUCUUCAGC